RNAcentral lists this long non-coding RNA (466 nucleotides) under Equus caballus (horse). RNAcentral describes it as "lncRNA (ENSECAG00000060059.1)". The record is from RNAcentral. Lineage: Eukaryota; Metazoa; Chordata; Mammalia; Perissodactyla; Equidae.
GGCUCGCAGUCAAAAUGAACAUUUGCUCAGUGGAUUCAUGACUAGCCUGUUUCAUCAGACGCCAUAUAUGCUGAGGUUAACCAAACUCGUGAGCAAGCAUAUACUUCAAACAAGAUGAGCAAACGACACACACAGCCAGCCACACCCGUGCACUCCUGAUUCAUGGAACCAAGAGGACAAGAAGAGCUCACCUCCAUGGAAUCUGGACACAGGGCCCAGCCCAUCUUCCUGGUCAAGAGUUAAGCAGUUGAACAGAAACAGAGAAGCAGCAGGUUUGGGGCUUCUGAGGCCAAUCCAAAGGAAGCAGGAGAUGGAGAGAAAGAAGAGGGAAAGAAGAAGAGAGGCAGACAAAGAGAAAGAGACAGAGACAGAGAGAGACAGACAAACAGAGAUACAGAGAGACCGAACCAGACAGAGAUGGAGAGCGAGGCGAGCCCGGGCGACAACAGGGCUGGGGAGCUUUCCU